CCUACGGGUGGCUGCAGUGAGGAAUAUUGCCCAAUGGAGGAAACUCUGAGGCAGCGACGCCGCGUGGGUGAAGAAGGCCUUCGGGUCGUAAAGCCCUUUUCUGCGUGACGAGGAAGGACGGUAGCGCAGGAAAAAGUCUCGGCUAACUACGUGCCAGCAGCCGCGGUAAAACGUAGGAGGCAAGCGUUAUCCGGAGUUACUGGGCGUAAAGCGCGCGCAGGGGGAUGGAUAAGUGGGUUGUGAAAGCGCUCGGCUAAACCGGGCGAGGACAAAUCAGACUGUUCAGCUAGAGGCGGAUAGAGGAGCGUGGAAUUCCGGGUGUAGCGGUGAAAUGUGUAGAGAUCCGGAGGAACACCAGUGGUGCAAACGACGCUCUGGGUCCGAACUGACGCUGAGGCGCGAAAGCGUGGGGAGCGAACGGGAUUAGAUACCCGAGUAGUC
This 441-nucleotide ribosomal RNA is filed under the name uncultured bacterium. RNAcentral's name for it is "partial 16S ribosomal RNA". It matches the Rfam family "Bacterial small subunit ribosomal RNA", at positions 338 to 795 of the family's 1533-position model. The record is from RNAcentral.